This 5640-nucleotide long non-coding RNA is filed under the name Gossypium barbadense (sea-island cotton). RNAcentral describes it as "long non-coding RNA (GBAR_LNC021318)". The record is from RNAcentral. Lineage: Eukaryota; Viridiplantae; Streptophyta; Magnoliopsida; Malvales; Malvaceae.
CUUCUUCGCACUCCUUCAUCUUCUUCUGUGCUCCGUCAAAUUCAUAGUUGACAUAAACACAUGCCAAAAACUCCGUGAUGGGAUCUUUGUAAGAGCACUGAUCUUGCUGGAUAACCUUGAUAAAUUCUUUGAAUUGAGGUCUUCUCCUUUUGUUGACAAUAAAAGCAGUGGCUAAGUACCUUAGAAGAUGGGGAGCACUGGUUUGAAUGGCAUUUAGAUACCUGGAAAGAAGCGAAAUCACCUUGUAAGAUGAGACAACUACACAAAGUUGGAUAACAGAGAAAGGAAAUAUAUAAACCCAGAGAAAUAAUGCAUUAACCAAUGAAAGAAAGCAGUAAAAACAUCUAAAUUCAAACACAAUUUUAUGUUUAGUUCCAACAACAAUCUCCCUUAUGAAACAAAAUUCCAAACUAAGGAGUAUGGCGAACAUAUCACCUACUUUAGCCUCAAAUCUUUGAACAAACAUUUUGCAAAUUACAUGGCAGGCUGUGCGUUAACUUUUCAUAUUAGAAAAACCAUGCAAAUGACAGAAGAAAUCCACAAAGUUUCUAAACAUGUUCCAUUCCAACAAAAUCAAAACCGAAGCAUGUGAACACAGCAGGAUCAUGAAACAGAAGUAAGUCAUGGCAUAAAAAGACAGGAAAAUGCACAAAGAACAAACAAGCACAGAUGUGACUACCACACAAAUGAUGCAACUAACAACAUCAGGAACAAGACAUGGAAACCUUAAGUUUAGUUGUUAAAGUGACAUACUUGUCUUGAUUAAAUAGGUCGAUGAUCUGUGUUCUUCCAUUGUCAUGGUUGAAAAAGAUGAAGAGGCUCCAAUGCAUAAGCCAUAUUCUACUCUGAACUUGGUUCAAAGGUGAUGAGAAGCUCUGCAGCAAAAAGACCAAUAAAUGAGUCAACGAAUAAUCGGAAAGCAAAUUGUCAAAACAAAAACCGAAUAAUCAACAGGGAUAUAACCAAAACCUUGGAAUCGAUUAUUUCUUUCAAACGAUUAAGUUCUUCAAGAGCAAUAUCCCAGUUUUGCAUCAGUAUCUCGGCAGCAAGCUUCCCCCACAAUGCACUCAAACUCCUUUCGCUGUUAGUACACAAAGCUCGAUACUGAUACAAAUAGUCAGCAGCACCAGAGUAGUUGCCACACUCAAAUUGGAAUUUUGCAUACUGAUACAAUGCCUCUAUUUGAUCUGGACCAAUCUGUUAAAAAAAAUUAUCCACCAUUAAAUUAAAAAAAACUUUAAUUAAUUCAAACCCAGGCAAAAUAAAAACUUUAACAACAAAGAGCAUGCUAGAAUUUUAGCAUAAGAAAGCAUGUGCAUCUAUUUGGUUAUUCUUUAUAUUUUCCUUAAAAAUCACAUAAUAUUAUGACUAAUACAAAUUCACACUUGAAUGGGUUAUUCACUUAAAAUCAAGAAGGGGUUAAAAUAACAUAAAAAUAACCUUAAAUUCAUCAAAAAGGGGGGGGCAGACCUGGUAGCGGUCAUUGAGCAUCUGGAGAUUAUACUGUUUAUCAGAACGCAAUUCCUGAACAGCGUUAGGGUUUUGCAAGAAAGUGACGAGAGGAGCGGCGGCAUCUUCCAAAGCUUUGAGACGAGCGACAACCUCGACUCUCCUCUCGACCAUGUCCUGAGGGACAUCAUCGGUGCGGUAAAGGCUCUUAUGGAUAUCCAUAGCGUAAUCGACCAUGUUUGUCUUGUUCAAAAGCUCAAUCUUUGCUUUCAAGAUCUGUUCAUCUGGGUAUAGUUGUCGCUCUUGCAAGAACUCCAGCAAUGGAAACACUAAGUGCCUGUCUAGGUUCGGGCCGAUACGUGGGGUUAGAUCGUAAGUAGCCAUUGCCAGGGUUUACUCUGGUUUCUGGUUUCGUGCUUUUUGUUUGAUAUAAACAAAUUUAUACUAUAUAUAUUCCUUCUCCACUCCCUUAAUUCAACUGGAGUUAAGAGUUAAAAUAUAGUUUUAAAUUUAUUUUUUAUUUUCGAAUUAAAUAUAAUAAGUUGUUUUUACAAAAAGAAAAAUACAAACGAGUUUAAAAUAAUAUUUAUCAAUAUUAUUUAUAAUAAUUACUAGAUAAUUGUUGGUCAUGCUUAAGUAAUUAAGCAUGAUUCUAAUAUAUUUUAUACUUGUUUAAAUCUAUUUUGAUCUUAAAUAUAUGUUUAAAAUUUCGUUUAAGUCACAUAUUGUCUGUAUUCCUCCCCAUCCUUCUUUGGGUACAAACAAUAUUAUUUGGGCACGCACGAUUUUAGGUUUUUUUUUGUCCAUAAUGCCUUUUGGUUUUUUUAAAAAAAGUUUUUGGAACCCAUAGCUGAAAAUACCAGGGGCCACAAAGAGUUAAUUUUUUUCUUACUAGCCUUCAAGCAAAGACUUUGUCUAAUAUGGAGUGAACUAGGAGGAACUGAUCAUAAUAUCUCACGUCUUGUUUGUAGCCAUGAAACAGAAGACAUGCUCUAUGUGCUUUAAGAUUGUUCGACAACAAAGGAAGUUUGGUUACAGGUAAUAUCUUUUGAUAAAUAACAAUGUUUCUUCUCUAGGUCUCUUCCGGAAUGGUUGACUUCAAAUCUUGCCUAUCACGUCCUAUUACCUAGAAAGGGGUAAUUUGACCUUGUCUAUUCGGUUUGAUUGCAUGGCGCAUUUGGAAAAAUAGGGACCUAUUCAUCUUUCAAGACAUCACUUUGAUGACUUUUGAUACUAUCAAGGUCUAGUUCAGUUGGGUGCAACAGUUUGAGUUAAGUCACAAAGGCCAUCAGGUGGACAUACUUGUCCACUAACGAAGCAGUAGGUAGUGGUGAUGGCAAUGCUUCCGUUAAAGGUGUUCUGCAGGACCAACAUGAGAACUGGAUAUUGGGGUUUAAUGACUACUUAGAGAGAUGCUCAAUUUUUAAAGCUGAGUUACGGGGAAUUUUAGAUGGCCUAUUAGUAUUGCUUAGCAAAGGAUUCAGAAAGGCCACGAUUCAGUCUAAGGUGGUUAAGUUGGUUAACAAAUUCUGGUAUUACAAUGUUUAAAAGGAUCCCGAGAAUUUUAUGAGCUAAAGGACAAUAGAGCACUAGACACGUGCUUAGAGAACCCAAUCAUGCUGCUGAUUAUUUGACUAACAUGAAUUUACUCAAGCCUUCACGUCUUUGAUGAUACCCCAAAUGAAAUUCUAAAGAUUAUACAACAAGACAAAGAUAAUAAAGUUUUUGUUAAUCUCGUGUUGAUGCAGUUCAGUUUUUUAUUUAAACACUAAAAAACAAAUUUCGUUUAAGUGUACCCAUAUUUGUAACAUAUUUGUAAAUGGAUCAUUAUUAUUUUUAAGAGAGAGAUCCACUUACAUAUUAUUAUUUUUAGUAACACAUUUAAAUCCAAAGUUCUCAACACAACGCUAUACUUUUAAUAACUCGGUACAAGCAUUUAAAAAAUUUCUUGACAUAAGUUGAAAGAGCAGAAUACAAUUUGGAUUUAGAUAAUGAUUUAUCAGUCUUGUUCCUACUCAAAAACUAAAAUCACUGUUAAAUUUGUCUGAAAGAAAUAAACAAUCAGCAAAUAGCUCAAAAUUGCAUAUAAAUUCAAGAGCUUCCUCGUCCAACUUAACAUGCAGGCUGCGCUUGUGCGGGUUCGAGAAGCUGGCCGACUAGCUUGUAGGUCCGCCCUUGAAGGGCCUUAGUGUGGUCGAUUAGCUGCUCGUAACUGCAGAAAUCCAGUAUCGAAAUUGGAAGUCAUUAAGAGAAGAGGAACAAACAAAUGUAGUUAUGGAAAGAACAUAGUAUGAAAGAUGCACAAUACAAAGAACAAGGAAAUCUUACACAUUAGGUUGAUUAGGCUCCAUAAUAACAGUUCCAGUCUCUGAAUCAAUCUUUGCCUCAAGUUUCGAGUUUCGGAUGAGAUUCACAAUCCACCUCUCACCCUCCUCGUAAUUUAAGUUCAGUUUCUCAAAAAGCACCCUUGAAACACAUACAAAAUCCAUUUAAUGUAGGAUCAAAAUCUAAGACAAGCAAUUAAAACAACAUAAUCUCAUAAGUAAAAGCAUAUCUUGAAAGAGUUAAGAAGACAAAUGGGAAGUAAUCACUAUAAUAAGAGAUACUCGAGUCCAUGUUACUCAGAUUUGGGUGAGUUUCAGAUACCGGUAUGUUUAAUUGUUUUCUAAGUUUUUCCAUGUAUUGAAGGAUCAUAUCUUCAUAACCGCAAGACAAAUACUUCAAGAAAAAUGAACAGUCAGGAAAUGCAUAGAUAAUAGCAAACCAAAGGUUUAUGUUGUGAUGUUUUGUGAUCUGUGCACGUGCCUGCUCUGCAGACGAAAACAUGCAUUACAUCUGUUUUGAUUUAAUAUUUUGUACAAAAUUUCAUCAAUCCUUAACAUGCAAUUAGCCAAAAAGAAUUCAUAACUCAGUGCAAUGUUAUGGGAAACCCAGCAUGCAAAGCAGACUGUGAGCCUAUCGACAAUUAAACAUUCAAAUGGAAGUCAUUCCGUGUCAUUUACUCAUAAGAAGAAGUCAAUUAUACACAUAAGAAGCUAAUUAUAUAAGUUUGACAAAGCAGGAGCUUACCCCAUAUCAAUGCGCUGAUGAAUUCUGCAGUAUGUCUCGAAGAUAAAUAAACGAGCAUUCUCAAGAAACUCAUCUUUUAAUGGGACAGUAGAAAAGUUGCCCUCUUCAACUCUUUUUCCAAGGAAGGGAUCAUUCAGUAUCACCUACAACAAAGACGGGAAAACUAAGGGUGUAAUAGAUAGAUCCUACAAUUCCAAUAUCAAACAAAAGCUAAAGGCAACCAAAACAGAUGACAAAACUUCAAGCUAAAACAUUGGACAAAUUUAUGGUAUAAGAUAGUACAAUCUAACUUACUUCUUCGCACUCCUUCAUCUUCUUCUGUGCUCCGUCAAAUUCAUAGUUGACAUAAACACAUGCCAAAAACUCCGUGAUGGGAUCUUUGUAAGAGCACUGAUCUUGCUGGAUAACCCUGAUAAAUUCUUUGAAUUGAGGUCUUCUCCUUUUGUUGACAAUAAAAGCAGUGGCUAAGUACCUUAGAAGAUGGGGAGCACUGGUUUGAAUGGCGUUUAGAUACCUGGAAAGAAGUGAAAUCACCUCGUAAGAUGAGACAAAUACACAAAGUUGGUUAAUAUAAACCCAGAGAAAAUAAUGCGUUAACCAAUGGAAAAAAGCAGUAAAAACAUCUAAAUUCAAACACAAUUUUAUGUUUAGUUCUAACAACAAUCCCCCUUAUGAAACAAAAUUCCAAACUAAGCAGUAUGGCGAACAUAUCACCUACUUUAGCCUCAAAUCUUUGAACAAACAUUUUGCAAAUUACAUGGCAGGCUGUGCGUUAACUUUUCAUAUUAGAAAAACCAUGCAAACGAUAGAAGAAAUCCACAAAGUUUCUAAACAUGUUCCAUUCCAACACAAUCAAAACCGAAGCAUGUGAACACAGCAGGAUCUUGAAACAGAAGUAAGUAAUGGCAUAAAAAGACAGGAAAAUGCACAAAGAACAAAUAAGCACAGAUGUGACUACCACACAAAUGAUGCAACUAACAACAUCAGUAACAAGACAUGGAAACCUUAAGUUUAGUUGUUAAAGUGACAUACUUGUCUUGAUUAAAUAGGUCGAUGAUCUGUGUUCUUCCAUUGUCAUGGUUGAAAAAGAUGAAGAGGCUCCAAUGCAUAAGCCAUAUUCUA